RNAcentral lists this long non-coding RNA (1282 nucleotides) under Anolis carolinensis (green anole). RNAcentral describes it as "lncRNA (ENSACAG00000042490.1)". The record is from RNAcentral. Lineage: Eukaryota; Metazoa; Chordata; Lepidosauria; Squamata; Anolidae.
GAACAAGUGAAGGGAAAGCAAUCUGCUAUACAUCCCCAAGGAGGACGGCAGUAUUUACUCCAGAUGAAGAUGCUAGAAAUCAGAAAAGAGGAAGAACUGAAGAGACGUCUGCGCGAAGAGGCCCGGAUUCAUAAGCUCCAAACAAGGGAUCUUGACAGGAGAGGAACACUGGGGUUCGUGCGGAGAAAUAACAGCUCGGAUGAUGAAGACCUGCUUAGCCAGACCUUUAAAAGAAACCAAGGCGAUCGUUGGAGUGGAGAACUUUUUAAAUUGCCUGGACCAUCCGAGGCCCAAAUCAGCCAGAGGGGGAAAGUGGAAGCGUGGCUGUGGAACCAGCAGGCAAAAAGAGAGUCGUUCUCAGAUACGUCGAGCAGUGACUCCAACAACUGGAAUCAUCCUUGCCGCAGACCUGCCUUAGUGAGGACUAAAACGCAAAGGAUCGCUCUAUUUGAUGAGUUUUUUGAUAAAGAGUUCUGAUUGGAAGGUGUGGUGCAGAAACUUGGCCUGCAAACAAUUGGUGAGACUUGUAUGAAUUAGAAGGGUGGGGAACACCAUCACAAACCAACCUUUACAACUGUUCUUGCCAUGGAUUUAAAGAGUCUUGGGGGUUCCGCCAAGUAGGAAUAAACAAUCUAAACACUCUGGGCAGAUAGUCAUUCUGCCUCUGCUGAAAAACCUACAGAGAAGGAGACUCCAUCGGACUCCCAGGCAGCAUAUUCCAUUGCCAAAAAGGUUAAGACCUUCUUUUCUCCAGGUUGUUGUUGUUGUUUAUUCAUUCAGUUGCUUCCGACUCGUGACCUCAUGGACCAGCCCACGGCAGAUCUUCCUGUCGGCUGUCUCCGCCACUCCCAGUUCCUUCAAGGUCAAGCCAGUCUCUUCAAGGAUACCAUCCAUCCAUCUCGCCCUUGGUCAGCCUCUCUUCCUUUUUCCUUCCAUUUUCCCCAUCAUUCCCCAGUGUCCAGAGGAGGGCAACUAAAAUGAUCAAAGGUCUGAAGAACAAUCCCUAUGAGGAGCGGCUUAAAGAACUGGGCAUGUUUAGCCUGCAGAAGAGAAGGCUGAGAGGAGACAUGAUAGCCAUGUACUAAUACGUGAAGGGAAGUCAUAGGGAGGAGGGAGCAAGCUUGUUUUCAAGCUUGGCUUCAAACUACAGGAAAGGAGAUUCCACCUGAACAUUAGGAAGAACUUCCCGACUGUGAGAGCUGUUCGGCAGUGGAACUCUCUGUCCCGGACUGUGGAGGAGGCUCCUUCUUUGGAGGCUUUUAAGCAGAGGCUGGAUAGCCAU